Oncorhynchus tshawytscha (Chinook salmon) is the source of this 1963-nucleotide long non-coding RNA. The record is from Ensembl. NCBI's taxonomy places the organism in Eukaryota, Metazoa, Chordata, Actinopteri, Salmoniformes, Salmonidae.
GGGGUUACACAGAGGUCCAAAACAUUUAUAAACAUUGCUGGCCUGUUUUUGUGCUCUAAUAUGAUAUACUCGAAACUGGAGUAAUGCGGUCGGGAGUAUGCAGAAUACAAAUUUGAUUCACAUUUAUUUUAUUUUAUUGUUUUUACAUUUCUUCACAUUUUCAAACAGUUAAUGUAUAUUUUCAAACUGGGCUACACAUUUGGGUGAGUUGUUUUUCUCGCCUGAGUAGCCUCGUUUCACAGCCAAAAAUAAAAUUAAACCAUUCAGUGUUCAGCGAAAUAACAACACAAUGUCAAAUACAGGUAGCCUAGUCAAAUAAUUAACAUCCAAUCACAUUAACCGUUACUCUCUCACGGGAAUUCCGAUAACGGUCCGUAUGUAGCCAACUGCGCUGGUGCUCAUUCUGUUUGCUAGAAAAUUGAUAAAUGGUUUAAAAAAGGUAAGGUCCGCGUCCAUAGAGACACAUACCAGCAGUACUACACCUGCACCUGUCGACAACACAAGUUGUUCUGCUUCCACGAGCACAUCCAAUGCUAGCAUCAGUAGUUCUACAUUUGUUGUUAGCCCAGCUAGCAUGGACACUGACAGUUGUGAAUCUGAUGCAGCCGAAGAGUUACUCCCCCCUUACCCGGGAAAGCAUCUGGGGAAAAGGCCAAAAAAACGACAGAAAAUGCAUCAUUGAACAACACUGUUUCAUAAUGCAUCGGUGACAUGGCAGGAGAUGUUUAGAAACAAUUACUGCUUCGCUUACAAGCCUGUGCAUUCUAUGCGUUACGUUGGAUGAGUCAACAGACAUGGCGGGCCUGGUACAAGUACUUUAAGUUUAUGGGGGGUCAAUUAAGGAAGACAUCCUCUUCUGCAAACCACUGGAAACCAGGACAACAGGAGACAAUAUUUUUGUACUGGACAGCUUUAUGACAUCAAAUUGACUUUGGUGGUCAAGAUGUGUUGGUACCUGUACUGAUGGCGCAAAAGCCAUGACAGUGAGACAUAGUGGAGAGGUAAUACCCGUGCAAGCAGUUGCUCCCAACGCCACUUCAGUACACUGCAGCAUCCACUGAGAGGCUCUUGCUGCCAAAGGAAUGCCUGACAGCUUGAAAAACAUUUUGGACACUACAGUGAAAAUGGUUAACUUUGUUAAAGCAAGGCACCUGAACUGAUGAUGAUAUGGGCAGCGACCAUGUAACGCUUUUACAACAUACAGAAGUGCGCUGGUUAUCAAGGGGCAAGGAUUACAGGGACUCACUGCAACUAUAUUCAAUGUGCGGAACAAAAUUGAGGCUCUGAUUAAGAAGCUGGAGCUCUUCUCUAUCUGCAUUAACAAGGACAACACGCAGAUCUUUCCAUCAUUGUAUGAUUUUUUUGUGUGCAAAUGAACUCAAGCUUAUGGACAAUGUCAAAUGUGAUAUAGCGAAGCACCUGAGUGAGUUGGGUGCACAAUUACACAGGUAUGGAUGACACAAAAACUGGAUUCCUUAUCCCUUUCAUGAUUCAAAAUUGCAGCAAGCGGUUCUGUGAAAAUUGAAUUUACUCAGAGUAUCCUGCCUUGGCAAAUCGCGCUUUUAAAACACUGAUGCCCUUUUACAACCACGUGCCUAUGUGAGAGUAGAUUUUCAAGCACACCCUUCUCAUUAACCUCUGGUGAGUUUUUCACAAUUUUCUAUUAACAAAUAAAGUUUUAUGUAAGACUGCUAAAUAAAGAGCAAAAUUAUUGAUUAUUAUAUUAUUAUUAUUAUAUUGAUUAUUGGUCCUCUAAGAGCUCUUUGUCACUUCCCACAAGACGGGUGUGACAAAAACUCACACAUUCUUAUGUUUAAUAAAUGUAUUGUAUAGUGUGUGUGUGGCAGGCUUCCAAUGAUGGCAAAAAACAAAAUUUGAGAGUGCGCUGACCCUGGUGCUAGAGGGGGUACACAGCUGGAGGUUGAAUGUUUGAAGGGGUAUGGGACUAUAAAGAGUUUGGGAA